This 410-nucleotide unclassified non-coding RNA is filed under the name Hevea brasiliensis (rubber tree). Lineage: Eukaryota; Viridiplantae; Streptophyta; Magnoliopsida; Malpighiales; Euphorbiaceae. The record is from RNAcentral.
GAAAGAGCAAACCAGAAAGUAGCACUAGAGACGAGCAGGAGUCUGCUGAAAAGUCAUCUACACCAGGGUCUGGUCGGAGUGUCUGGCCUCCAAGUUCCCGAGCAGAUGUGAGAAAUUCCCAGACCGAGAUUGAUCUUACGCGUGGAUGACACAAUUCGCUGGAAUGCAUAUUUGAGGAGUUUGUAUAUAUGUGCUAUUGUAAAUGAAACGCGUCAGGUGAUCAAGCUCAACGACUUAACUGUCUGCCAAUUAGUAGAUGAAGGAUUAUGCUAACUUUGGUAACAAAAUUCUCCUUGUAGGUACUGUUUAGUGGUAAGAAUGAUAUGGUUGUUACAAGUAAAAAUUAUUGUUUCCUUAGAAGUGCUUUUGGUCUCUUCUGUUGUAACUUGGAAUAUUUUUUAUUUUUGGGA